GUCCUCAAGCUACACAUGUGUCCGACCUCUACAGGUAUCCAUCGAAAUGAACCUUGAAUCUUUCUUCUUGUGAUAGAUCUUUUUUCUUCAAGUAUAAUCUCAGUUCUUUAGAACUUUGAUCAACUCUUUGAUCUUGACUACGAACUCAACUCUUGAACUGCAGUCUUUUUCUCUUCGUUCCUCACUGUAGAAGAAAACCUCCUUAACUCUUGAUGUGUAGAAGGAUG
Molecule: long non-coding RNA, 227 nt
Filed under: Elaeis guineensis (African oil palm)
Lineage: Eukaryota; Viridiplantae; Streptophyta; Magnoliopsida; Arecales; Arecaceae
Description: long non-coding RNA (EGUI_LNC055916)
Source: RNAcentral